Long non-coding RNA from Sinocyclocheilus anshuiensis, 1752 nucleotides. RefSeq lists it as uncharacterized. NCBI's taxonomy places the organism in Eukaryota, Metazoa, Chordata, Actinopteri, Cypriniformes, Cyprinidae. The record is from RefSeq and is a predicted model, not a curated record. The transcript has 3 exons.
GAGCAACUUUGUAUAGACAGCUGCUGUCUUAUAAAUACACACCAUUAGUUCUACUGUAAGGAUACUCUAGUUUGCAGUAUUUUGUUUGUGUAACUCAAACAUCAGUCCUCUUCUUUAAUCUUCUGUGAAUCUGUAUUUUCGUACAGGGGAAUGGUGAUGAAGACUCGUCCCCUGGUCAGACUGAUGCUCUAAUGCAGAUGACUCCUAAUGGGACAUCCCAUAAUAACACUGAGGAUGCCAAUGAGACACCACAGUAACAUUACUACUUUAUUUUUUUGAAGGGAAAAUUAAGACAAAAUGGGAAAUGAGAAGAUUAUCAGUUAAAAAAAUCACAUCACUCACAGAGGAAUUGUAAUGAUACCAAGAUUUCAGUAGUCAGUACCGAUACCAGUGAAGUUUUAUCAUGAUACCAAUUUCAACACAUCAAAAAAUUGCUAUAAAACAGUGAGUGAUUUCAUGUCAUUUGCACUGUGAGACCUAUUAAUGUACUGACCUGUUUGACAUAUCAGUAAUGUUUGUGUAUAUCUUUCUAAAGCACAAAUACCUCACCUGUUUAACUGCUCUCAAACUGUCGCACAAGUGCUCCACACAGAUCACGUGCACAAAUACACAAUGGAUGCUUGAAGCAGCUCUCAUUCUAGCACUGAAUCACAUUUGCACUACUGAUACUGUAGGUGCUGUUACUGGUAUUGUUGCUGUUACCGGAAAGCCUGGUAUCAUGUUGCAUAUGUAACUACCAGACUUUUCAAUUGAUGUAACCAGCGAACUGCCCUUGGUCAACCAGCUUCAUCAGAAAGAUCAUACGGACGGAGUGCAUGUAUCUGAAUGCUUGUUGUAUGUGGUGAUAUGUGGUGUUAUACAAGUAAAAAAUACUUUUAUGUGGUAGAAAUGUUGAAGUAGACAUAUGUGGACAUGCUUGACAAGCAUGUUAUUAUAAUCUUCAGAUGUGUUACUUAUUGUGUUCAUUGUUAAAUUGUGCAGAAAUGUUGUUCUUUGUACUUUGUGUAUGAAUCACAGUAACAUUCAGUCAUCUUGUAUUUAUGAGGAUAUAAUUAAUUUCUCUUGUUUUUAAGUUCUUUUAUUUGUUGUCAUUUCAUGCGAGGAGACAGACGAAGACCCUUAAGCCAUUAAAGAACAUCACUGUGUGACUGAGAUGAUCACCUUCAUUUGAAUUUUCUGUGAUGCCAGUCCUGGAUAGCUGCAGACUUGUCCUGUUUGCUUUGGAUUAUGAGAUCGGUUCCCGUUCAAAAAGCUUACCUCUUUACAUCAUACAUCAGCAGAGCUGAACACUGAACCAUGAUCUUCACCGUUACAAGAACAAUUUGACAGUUGUCGGGUCGUGGAAUAACUGAGAAGUGACGUACUGUAAUCUGGUGAAUGUCCACAUUUGUCGAUGUCUGUCGGUGAGGAGUGACUGAUUCUAAAACAGCAAAAAAAAAAAAACCUGUGCCUUGCACUCUGAGUAAAAUAUCUGAAGACGUUUUAUUUACAAAGCUCUGCUUUAUUGAAACCUACUUCAGGUGGGUGCCAUUUUAUUUCUGUAAAUCCUUUUCUCCUGUUUUUGUGUAGUUAGGGAGUUAGUGUACAUUUCUGUUGUUCAUUUUGUUUUCUUUUGUCAGUUUAGACCGUUUUGGUCCCUAAUUAGACAGAGGGUCCUUUUGUUUGUUGUUUUGGCCUUUCCCCCUCCUGAAGUCCAUUUUUGCUUCCUAAUUUAUUACUUUGUCAUUUAUGCUUUUGUUAAUAAAAUAUUUG